This 115-nucleotide ribosomal RNA is filed under the name Acinetobacter baumannii. Lineage: Bacteria; Pseudomonadati; Pseudomonadota; Gammaproteobacteria; Moraxellales; Moraxellaceae. The record is from RNAcentral.
GCUGGCGACCAUAGCAAGAGUGAACCACCUGAUCCCUUCCCGAACUCAGAAGUGAAACCUCUUAGCGCUGAUGGUAGUGUGGGAUUACCCAUGUGAGAGUAAGUCAUUGCCAGCU